AUUGAACGCUGGCGGCAGGCCUAACACAUGCAAGUUGAGCGGAUGCGGGGGGCUUGCUCCUGGAUUCAGCGGCGGGCGGAUGGGUAAUGCAUAGGAAUCUGCCCGGUCGUGGGGGCUGACGUCCGGAAACGGGCGCUAUUACAGCAUCCGAACUGAGGGAGAAAGUGGGGGAUCUUCGUUCCUCACACUAUUCGUUGAGCCUAGGUUGGAUUGGCUAGUUGGUGGGGUAAAGGCCUACCAAGGCGACGAUCCGUAACUGGUCUGAGAGGAUGAUCAGUCACACUGGAACUGAGACACGGUCCAUACUCCUACGGGAGGCGGCAUUGGGGAAUAUUGGACAAUGAGCGAAAGCCUGAUCCAGCCAGGCGGCGUGUGUAAGGAAGAUCUUCGAAUUGUAGAGCACUUUAAGUAGGUAUGAAGGCCAGUAAGUGAAAACCUUGCUGUUUUGACGUUACCAACAGAGUAAGCACCGGCUAACUUCGUG
Molecule: ribosomal RNA, 484 nt
Filed under: uncultured bacterium
Lineage: Bacteria
Description: partial 16S ribosomal RNA
Rfam family: Bacterial small subunit ribosomal RNA
Source: RNAcentral